This 75-nucleotide transfer RNA is filed under the name Candidatus Woesearchaeota archaeon. RNAcentral describes it as "tRNA-Pro". It matches the Rfam family "tRNA". Rfam says of the family: Transfer RNA (tRNA) molecules are approximately 80 nucleotides in length. Their secondary structure includes four short double-helical elements and three loops (D, anti-codon, and T loops). Further hydrogen bonds mediate the characteristic L-shaped molecular structure. tRNAs have two regions of fundamental functional importance: the anti-codon, which is responsible for specific mRNA codon recognition, and the 3' end, to which the tRNAs corresponding amino acid is attached (by aminoacyl-tRNA synthetases). tRNAs cope with the degeneracy of the genetic code in two manners: having more than one tRNA (with a specific anti-codon) for a particular amino acid; and 'wobble' base-pairing, i.e. permitting non-standard base-pairing at the 3rd anti-codon position. The record is from RNAcentral. Lineage: Archaea; Nanobdellati; Candidatus Woesearchaeota.
GGGGUUGUGGUGUAGCUUGGCCCAGCAUUAGAGGUUUGGGACCUUUAGACCCAGGUUCAAAUCCUGGCAACCCCA